GCAGAUGUGAUACGAUUCAAUAACUGUCAAGCCAGGAACUAACGAUCCGCACAUCUGACAUCAUGAAAUACUUGGUUCUUCUCCUGUGUCUCAGCUUCGUCGCCAUGUCAUACGCCGCGCCGUGUGUGGAGGAGAACUGUUUCUUCAACCCCUGCAUGUUUGCUGAGUGUCCCGAACACCCGAACGCCGAGUGCAGGGCCAACUACUGUGGCGGAUGUAACGCCGAGUUUUUCCUCAACGACGUGGAAGUGACGAGCCAGUGUUCCUCCGUCUAACGGUCUCUCUCUCUCUCAAAGACAGAAUAUCCCCCCCCCCCCAAGAAGUAGGUCUCUCUCAUAGACAGAAGACCCCCCCCCCCCCGAAGUAGGUCAAGGUCAUGGCUGACUGGCACAGAAGCUCGUAGAUCUACAGAGGACUCUGCUUUGCUGACUAGGCCAUGUCGUUGACCCAAGAUUGUGGUGGUAGAGAAUACUUGAAUAAAGUAAUGAGUGCUCAUCA
Molecule: long non-coding RNA, 498 nt
Organism: Aplysia californica (California sea hare)
Lineage: Eukaryota; Metazoa; Mollusca; Gastropoda; Aplysiida; Aplysiidae
Exons: 3
Source: RefSeq, a predicted model, not a curated record